UUGACCUCGGAUCAGGUAGGGAUACCCGCUGAACUUAAGCAUUCAUAA
This 48-nucleotide ribosomal RNA is filed under the name Bambusicola splendida. RNAcentral describes it as "partial 28S ribosomal RNA". Lineage: Eukaryota; Fungi; Ascomycota; Dothideomycetes; Pleosporales; Bambusicolaceae. The record is from RNAcentral.